GCCGGGGUGGCGGAAUUGGUAGACGCGCCGGAUUCAAAAUCCGGUUUCUUCGGAAGUGCGAGUUCGAUUCUCGCCCUCGGCACCA
Molecule: transfer RNA, 85 nt
Filed under: marine bacterium B5-7
Lineage: Bacteria; Pseudomonadati; Pseudomonadota; Gammaproteobacteria
Also listed under: 13 other names
Description: tRNA-Leu
Rfam family: tRNA
About the family: Transfer RNA (tRNA) molecules are approximately 80 nucleotides in length. Their secondary structure includes four short double-helical elements and three loops (D, anti-codon, and T loops). Further hydrogen bonds mediate the characteristic L-shaped molecular structure. tRNAs have two regions of fundamental functional importance: the anti-codon, which is responsible for specific mRNA codon recognition, and the 3' end, to which the tRNAs corresponding amino acid is attached (by aminoacyl-tRNA synthetases). tRNAs cope with the degeneracy of the genetic code in two manners: having more than one tRNA (with a specific anti-codon) for a particular amino acid; and 'wobble' base-pairing, i.e. permitting non-standard base-pairing at the 3rd anti-codon position.
Source: RNAcentral